GGGGGUGACCGGCUUCGACUUCGGUCGUUCGAGCCAGGGGAAGCGGGUCGAGGGUUGCUGUCGUGACCUCGUAAAUCCUGUGACAGCAAACCAAUAACUGCCAACAAGAAGCAGUCCGAGUUCGCCCUCGCCGCCUGAGCGAGGAGCGAACUCUGUCAGCCCGGUAGCGUCUCCGAACCGGGGUCUGGCAUCG
This 193-nucleotide transfer-messenger RNA is filed under the name Micromonospora aurantiaca (nom. illeg.). RNAcentral describes it as "partial transfer-messenger RNA". It matches the Rfam family "transfer-messenger RNA", at positions 1 to 188 of the family's 374-position model. From Rfam's summary of the family: Bacterial tmRNA, also known as 10Sa RNA or SsrA, is named for its dual tRNA and mRNA-like properties. Its role is to liberate the mRNA from a stalled ribosome. Lineage: Bacteria; Bacillati; Actinomycetota; Actinomycetes; Micromonosporales; Micromonosporaceae. The record is from RNAcentral.